UACGGAGGAUCCGAGCGUUAUCCGGAUUUAUUGGGUUUAAAGGGAGCGUAGGUGGACAGUUAAGUCAGUUGUGAAAGUUUGCGGCUCAACCGUAAAAUUGCAGUUGAUACUGGCUGUCUUGAGUACAGUAGAGGUGGGCGGAAUUCGUGGUGUAGCGGUGAAAUGCUUAGAUAUCACGAAGAACUCCGAUUGCGAAGGCAGCUCACUGGACUGCAACUGACACUGAUGCUCGAAAGUGUGGGUAUCAAACAGG
This 253-nucleotide ribosomal RNA is filed under the name Bacteroides thetaiotaomicron VPI-5482. RNAcentral describes it as "partial 16S ribosomal RNA". It matches the Rfam family "Bacterial small subunit ribosomal RNA", at positions 524 to 776 of the family's 1533-position model. Lineage: Bacteria; Pseudomonadati; Bacteroidota; Bacteroidia; Bacteroidales; Bacteroidaceae. The record is from RNAcentral. RNAcentral also lists the same sequence under 1 other name.